This 344-nucleotide long non-coding RNA is filed under the name Ictidomys tridecemlineatus (thirteen-lined ground squirrel). Its description in RNAcentral is "lncRNA (ENSSTOG00000029383.1)". The record is from RNAcentral. Lineage: Eukaryota; Metazoa; Chordata; Mammalia; Rodentia; Sciuridae.
ACAGCCCACUGCCCUGAGGACUUCUUAAGAGGCUGCUCACACUCUGUGCAGGAGUCAGUCCCAGUCAGGACACAGCAUGGCCAUGAGGGCCCCUGUUCAGCUACUGGGGCUCCUGUUGCUCUACCUUCCAGCUGCACCCAUCAGGGCAUUUGCAUGCUGCUUCCUGGGGAGGACCUUCCUGCAAGGCUGUCAUAAAAGCUCAGCUCUAACCUGCCCUUGACUCACCAGGGCUCCUCAGCUCAGCUUCUCAAGAUGAGGCUCCCUGCUCAGCUCCUGGGGCUGCUGCUGCUCUGGAUCCCUGGUAAGGACAGAGAGGAUGGGGAAGGAGAAAGGAGAAGGGGUGA